Molecule: long non-coding RNA, 651 nt
Organism: Girardinichthys multiradiatus
Lineage: Eukaryota; Metazoa; Chordata; Actinopteri; Cyprinodontiformes; Goodeidae
Exons: 2
Source: RefSeq, a predicted model, not a curated record
GAAAAAAACAAAAAAAAACAUUUUUAGAAAGAAAGUUAAAGAGGUGCAGAGUGAGACGGGAUACUGAACCUGGCAAAAGUAGACUUAGCCCUGAAACAUCUGAAACAUUUUCCCCAGAUUACAACCACAAACUUGGGUGCAUCUACUGAGACAAAACAACAAAAUGUGGCAUAUAAGUGUUAAGUUGAAGUAAAUUAUACAUGAUAUUUUGAUUUUUUCAACAAAUAAAAACCUGAGAAAUGUGGUUUGUAUUUAUAUUCAGCGCCCCUGAGCCAAACCCAGUCAAAUUAGGUGGAGAACACUGAGAACAUCCAUUAUUCCAUCUUGUCACAGAUUCACACAGAGAUUAAAAUGUCAAAAAUAGUCACUUAGGGAUAUCAAGGUAACAGAUGGUGAAUACAAUGCAAACCACUCUUCGAAUCUAUAUUUGCAAACAUUGUUCAAUUUCCUUGUUUAACAAUUGUGUUUAGAUUAGUUUUGGUCUGUGGCAUAAAACAAAUGUAGGUUGUUGUUGUAAUCUGACCACAUGUAAAAAGGUUAAGAGGAUGUGAAAACUUUUGCCAGGCAUGUUGCAAAACUGGACAAAAUACUACAGAGCCCGGGGAAAAAAAAAAAAAAAAACGCUGGUGGAAAUCCGUGCUCACACUUUAC